This is a long non-coding RNA of Eriocheir sinensis (Chinese mitten crab), 499 nucleotides long. RefSeq lists it as uncharacterized. Lineage: Eukaryota; Metazoa; Arthropoda; Malacostraca; Decapoda; Varunidae. The record is from RefSeq and is a predicted model, not a curated record. The transcript has 3 exons.
UUUCUCUGCCUCUGUGGUGGAUAGUGGAGUGUUUCCCAUGUGGUAUUGGUGUGCUGGAUAUCCCUUCACUGGUAGCCUGGUAACAUACACUCCCAGGUCUUUCUCUGCCUCUGUGGUGGAUAGUGGAGUGUUUUCCAUGUGGUAUUGGUGUGCUGGAUAUCCCUUCACUGGUAGCCUGGUAACAUACACUCCCAGGUCUUUCUCUGCCUCUGUGGUGGAUAGUGGAGUGUUUCCCAUGUGGUAUUGGUGUGCUGGAUAUCCCUUCACUGGUAGCCUGGUAACAUACACUCCCAGGUCUUUCUGCCUCUGUGGUGGAUAGUGGAGUGUUUCCCAUGUGGUAUUGGUGUGCUGGAUAUCCCUUCACUGGUAGCCUGGUAACAUACACUCCCAGGUCUUUCUCUGCCUCUGUGGUGGAUAGUGGAGUGUUUCCCAUGUGGUAUUGGUGUGCUGGAUAUACCUUCACUGGUAGCCUGGUAACAUACACUCCCAGGUCUUUCUC